This 130-nucleotide small RNA is filed under the name bovine gut metagenome. RNAcentral describes it as "Clostridiales-1 RNA". It matches the Rfam family "Clostridiales-1 RNA", at positions 27 to 161 of the family's 166-position model. The record is from RNAcentral.
UUCGUUCAUGCCUGCAUGAAAAGGACCCCGGGCUUCCGGAUCACGCCCCCCUCAUGAGCAAGAAGCGGUAUGCCGCGGAUUGCGAAUGAGGGGAGCAUUGCGGGAGUGCGAAGCACGCAGCAAUGCGUGG